This 273-nucleotide ribosomal RNA is filed under the name uncultured prokaryote. RNAcentral describes it as "partial 16S ribosomal RNA". It matches the Rfam family "Bacterial small subunit ribosomal RNA", at positions 526 to 800 of the family's 1533-position model. The record is from RNAcentral.
CGUAGGGGCUAGCGUUAUCCGGAAUUACUGGGCGUAAAGGGUGCGUAGGUGGUUUCUUAAGUCAGAGGUGAAAGGCUACGGCUCAACCGUAGUAAGCCUUUGAAACUGAGAAACUUGAGUGCAGGAGAGGAGAGUAGAAUUCCUAGUGUAGCGGUGAAAUGCGUAGAUAUUAGGAGGAAUACCAGUUGCGAAGGCGGCUCUCUGGACUGUAACUGACACUGAGGCACGAAAGCGUGGGGAGCAAACAGGAUUAGAUACCCUGGUAGUCCCUGA